CCUGGUGACAAUAGCGGAGGGGAAACACCCGUACCCAUCCCGAACACGGCAGUUAAGCCCUCCAGCGCCGAUGGUACUGCGCGUAAGCGUGGGAGAGUAGGUCGUUGCCAGGA
Molecule: ribosomal RNA, 113 nt
Filed under: Syntrophomonadaceae bacterium
Lineage: Bacteria; Bacillati; Bacillota; Clostridia; Eubacteriales; Syntrophomonadaceae
Source: RNAcentral